GACGAACACUGGCGGCGUGCUUAACACAUGCAAGUCGAACGGAAAGGCCCUGCUUUUGUGGGGUGCUCGAGUGGCGAACGGGUGAGUAACACGUGAGUAACCUGCCCUUGACUUUGGGAUAACUUCAGGAAACUGGGGCUAAUACCGGAUAGGAGCUCCUGCUGCAUGGUGGGGGUUGGAAAGUUUCGGCGGUUGGGGAUGGACUCGCGGCUUAUCGGCUUGUUGGUGGGGUAGUGGCUUACCAAGGCUUUGACGGGUAGCCGGCCUGAGAGGGUGACCGGCCACAUUGGGACUGAGGUACGGCCCAGACUCCUACGGGAGGCAGAAGUGGGAAAUAUUGCGCAAUGGGCGCAAGCCGGAUGCAGCAACGCUGCGUGCGUGAUGACGGCCUUCGGGUUGUAAACCGCUUUCGCCUGUGACGAACCGUGAGUGACGGUAAUGGGUAAAGAAGCACCGGCUAACUACGUG
This 468-nucleotide ribosomal RNA is filed under the name uncultured bacterium. RNAcentral's name for it is "partial 16S ribosomal RNA". It matches the Rfam family "Bacterial small subunit ribosomal RNA", at positions 28 to 507 of the family's 1533-position model. The record is from RNAcentral.